AUGACGACAGUCAGGCAUCAACAACAUGGCCACGUGUCCGUCUAUGACUUCUUAGGACCAGAGCUCGCGAGGACCACCACUUGCGAGUGCCGCGACCUCCCGGAGCCCGUGCUGCUCGCGGGGUGCGUGCCGCUACACGACGCCGAUCUCCUCGAGCCCCUCCAGAACCGUUCUGACCCCGUGUACCAGCUCAUGAUCGACCUCGGGCGCAACUACCUCCUCGCGGAAGGUUUCAUCGUCAACACCAUGGACGCGUUGGAGCACGAGACGCUGGUGGCAUACAAAGAGCUUUCUAACAAGGGCGUGUACCCACCGGCAUACGCUGUGGGUCCAUUCACCCGGCGGUGGUGCCCCGACUCCGAUGAGGUCAAUCACAGCUGCUUACGGUGGCUGGACAACCAGCCGGACGGCUCGGUCUUGUACGUGUCCUUCGGCAGCGGCGGCACGCUGUCCACGGCGCAGACGGCCGAGCAGAGGAUGAACGCGGUGAUGCUGUCGUCGGAUCGGGUGGGCCUGGCGUUAUGGGAGAGGCCUCCCCUCGGUAAGGACGGAGUGGUUGUCCCUCGGGAGGAGGUAGCGGCGCUGGUCAGAGAGCUUAUGGAAGGGGAGAAGGGCGCCGCGGCGCGGAAAAAGGCCGGUCACCUCCGGGAUGAGGCCGAGAUUGCUUCGGCGCCGGGUGGGCCUCAGGAUCGAGCUCUCGCGGUAGUGGCUGGCAUGGUUUCCUUGCAUCGGAAGAGCCGCGCUGUGUAA
RNAcentral lists this ribosomal RNA (750 nucleotides) under Triticum aestivum (bread wheat). RNAcentral's name for it is "partial small subunit ribosomal RNA". Lineage: Eukaryota; Viridiplantae; Streptophyta; Magnoliopsida; Poales; Poaceae. The record is from RNAcentral.